Molecule: ribosomal RNA, 449 nt
Filed under: Temnoplectron finnigani
Lineage: Eukaryota; Metazoa; Arthropoda; Insecta; Coleoptera; Scarabaeidae
Description: partial 16S ribosomal RNA
Source: RNAcentral
CAUGUCUUUUUGAUGAUAAUUUAAAGUCUAAUCUGCCCUAUGAAUUAAUUUUUAAAUGGCUGCGGUAUUUUGACCGUGCAAAGGUAGCAUAAUAAUUAGUUUCUUAAUUAGGAACUGGUAUGAAAGGUUGGACGAGAAAAAUACUGUCUCAAUUUAAAUUUAAUUAGAAUUUUAUAUUUAAGUUAAAAAGCUUAAAUAUUUUUAAAAGACGAGAAGACCCUAUAGAGUUUAAUAUUAAUUUUAUUUAUUUAAAAAUUAAAGUAUUUUAAAUUUAUUUAUAUUAAUUAGUAUUUAAUUGGGGUGAUUAAAAAAUUAAUUUAACUUUUUUUAUUUAAAAUCAUUAAUAAAUGUAUAAUUGAUCCAUAAUUUAUGAUUAUAAGAUUAAAUUACCUUAGGGAUAACAGCGUAAUUUUUUUUUAGAGUUCUUAUCGAAAAAAAAGUUUGCGACC